This 490-nucleotide ribosomal RNA is filed under the name uncultured bacterium. RNAcentral describes it as "partial 16S ribosomal RNA". It matches the Rfam family "Bacterial small subunit ribosomal RNA", at positions 30 to 507 of the family's 1533-position model. The record is from RNAcentral.
AUUGAACGCUGGCGGCAGGCCUAACACAUGCAAGUCGAACGGUAACAGGAAGAAGCUUGCUUCUUUGCUGACGAGUGGCGGACGGGUGAGUAAUGUCUGGGAAACUGCCUGAUGGAGGGGGAUAACUACUGGAAACGGUAGCUAAUACCGCAUAACGUCGCAAGACCAAAGAGGGGGACCUUCGGGCCUCUUGCCAUCGGAUGUGCCCAGAUGGGAGUAGCUAGUAGGUGGGGUAACGGCUCACCUAGGCGACGAUCCCUAGCUGGUCUGAGAGGAUGACCAGCCACACUGGAACUGAGACACGGUCCAGACUCCUACGGGAGGCAGCAGUGGGGAAUAUUGCACAAUGGGCGCAAGCCUGAUGCAGCCAUGCCGCGUGUAUGAAGAAGGCCUUCGGGUUGUAAAGUACUUUCAGCGGGGAGGAAGGGAGUAAAGUUAAUACCUUGGCUCAUUGACGUUACCCGCAGAAGAAGCACCGGCUAACUCCGUG